UACGUAGGGGGCAAGCGUUACCCGGAUUCACUGGGCGUAAAGCGCGUGUAGGCGGCUGGCCAAGCGUGGUGUGAAAUCUCCGGGCUCAACCCGGAAACUGCACUGCGAACUGGCCUGGCUGGAGUGCAGGAGAGGGAUGCGGAAUUCACGGUGUAGCGGUGAAAUGCGUAGAUAUCGCUAGGAACGCCGGUGGCGAAGGCGGGAAGCUGGGCCGAUCCUGACGCUGAGGCGCGAAAGCUAGGGGAGCGAACCGG
This 254-nucleotide ribosomal RNA is filed under the name uncultured bacterium. RNAcentral's name for it is "partial 16S ribosomal RNA". It matches the Rfam family "Bacterial small subunit ribosomal RNA", at positions 524 to 776 of the family's 1533-position model. The record is from RNAcentral.